RNAcentral lists this transfer-messenger RNA (398 nucleotides) under Bacteroidota bacterium. It matches the Rfam family "transfer-messenger RNA". Rfam says of the family: Bacterial tmRNA, also known as 10Sa RNA or SsrA, is named for its dual tRNA and mRNA-like properties. The record is from RNAcentral. Lineage: Bacteria; Pseudomonadati; Bacteroidota.
GGGGCUGUCUGGAUUUGACAGCGGGUAGAAGAGGUGUGUAAGCAUGCAGAGCGUGGGUGGCUGGCUCUAUAAUAUCAGACAUCAAAAUUAUAACUGGCGAAAAUAACGUAGCUCUCGCUGCUUAAUCGAAUCAUAGUAGAUCAAGCCUAAUCCAGGUACAAGGUACCAGGACGAGACAUCACCCGGAAGCUGUGGCUUCGAAGCAAUCCGAACCGGUGGUGCAGAAAAAUCGGAACUAGCUGAAAGCUCUCCCCGGGCUGAUGUGAAACUUUAGGGGAUAAGGUUCGGGUUGGUGGCUUCGGUCUUGCCCGGGCACGAAAAUGAAGGCGAAGAUAAGCAUGUAGAAAGCAUAUUGCUUCCUCGUUUGGACCGGGGUUCGACUCCCCGCAGCUCCACAU